Molecule: transfer RNA, 69 nt
Filed under: Hemiphyllodactylus nahangensis (Nahang slender gecko)
Lineage: Eukaryota; Metazoa; Chordata; Lepidosauria; Squamata; Gekkonidae
Description: tRNA-Ala
Source: RNAcentral
AGGCCUGUAAUAUUUUAACAUACAUCUUCUGACUGCAAAUCAGACACUUUAAUUAAGCUAAGACCUCCC